Molecule: ribosomal RNA, 325 nt
Filed under: uncultured soil bacterium
Lineage: Bacteria
Description: bacterial SSU rRNA
Rfam family: Bacterial small subunit ribosomal RNA
Source: RNAcentral
AGAUUGAACGCUGGCGGCAGGCCUAACACAUGCAAGUCGAGCGGUAGAGAGGUGCUUGCAUCUCUUGAGAGCGGCGGACGGGUGAGUAAUGCCUAGGAAUCUGCCUAGUGGUGGGGGAUAACGUUCGGAAACGGACGCUAAUACCGCAUACGUCCUACGGGAGAAAGCGGGGGACCUUCGGGCCUCGCGCCAUUAGAUGAGCCUAGGUCGGAUUAGCUAGUUGGUGAGGUAAUGGCUCACCAAGGCGACGAUCCGUAACUGGUCUGAGAGGAUGAUCAGUCACACUGGAACUGAGACACGGUCCAGACUCCUACGGGAGGCAGCA